RNAcentral lists this ribosomal RNA (399 nucleotides) under uncultured bacterium. Its description in RNAcentral is "bacterial SSU rRNA". It matches the Rfam family "Bacterial small subunit ribosomal RNA", at positions 335 to 724 of the family's 1533-position model. The record is from RNAcentral.
ACUCCUACGGGAGGCAGCAGUGGGGAAUAUUGCACAAUGGGGGAAACCCUGAUGCAGCCAUGCCGCGUGUGUGAAGAAGGCCUUCGGGUUGUAAAGUACUUUCAGCAGUGAGGAAGGUGAUAUGUUAAUAGCANAUUCAUUUGACGUUUAGCUGCAGAAGAAGCGACCGCUAACUCCGUGCCAGCAGCCGCGGUAAUACGGAGGGGACUAGCGUUGUUCGGAUUUACUGGGCGUAAAGGGUGCGUAGGCGGUGUAUUAAGUUAGAAGUGAAAGCCUGGGGCUUUAACCCUAGAACUGCUUCUAAAACUAAUACGCUAGAGUAUGGGAGAGGAUAGUGGAAUUCCUAGUGUAGAGGUGAAAUUCUUAGAUAUUAGGAGGAACACCGGUGGCGAAAAGCGA